UUAACUUAAAUUUGUAUGAGUUGGAACGUUUGCAUAUGUUUGCCACUAGGGGCGCUCUUUCGACUGCAUACAAAUUUAAGUUA
RNAcentral lists this microRNA precursor (83 nucleotides) under Bombyx mori (domestic silkworm). RNAcentral's name for it is "mir-2807 microRNA precursor family". It matches the Rfam family "mir-2807 microRNA precursor family". The record is from Rfam by way of RNAcentral. Lineage: Eukaryota; Metazoa; Arthropoda; Insecta; Lepidoptera; Bombycidae.